RNAcentral lists this ribosomal RNA (575 nucleotides) under uncultured bacterium. Its description in RNAcentral is "bacterial SSU rRNA". It matches the Rfam family "Bacterial small subunit ribosomal RNA", at positions 338 to 916 of the family's 1533-position model. The record is from RNAcentral.
CCUACGGGAGGCAGCAGUGGGGAAUAUUGGGCAAUGGGCGAAAGCCUGACCCAGCGAUGCCGCGUGAGGGAUGAAGGCCUUCGGGUCGUAAACCUCUGUCAGGAGGGACGAUGGGACUUUUGUCUUGACGGUACCUCCAGAGGAAGCCCCGGCUAACUCCGUGCCAGCAGCCGCGGUAAUACGGAGGGGGCAAGCGUUGCUCGGAAUUACUGGGCGUAAAGGGUCCGCAGGCUGUCAGGCAAGUUGGUUGUGAAAGCUCAAGGCUUAACCUUGGAAUUGCAUCCAAAACUGCCUGACUAGAGUCCAAGAGAGGUUGGCGGAAUUCCCGGUGUAAGCGGUGAAAUGCAUAGAUAUCGGGAGGAACACCAGAGGCGAAGGCGGCCAACUGGCUUGGUACUGACGCUCAGGGACGAAAGCGUGGGUAGCAAAACCGGAUUAGAUACCCGGGUAGUCCACGCCCUAAACNAUGGAUGCUAGGUAGGGGGAAUUUAUUUCUCCCUGCCGUAAGUNAACGCAUUUAANCAUACCGCCUGGGGAGUACGGUCNCAAGGCUGAAAACUCAAAGGAAUUGACGG